UGUGUUUGUGUUUUCUCUAAUGGGCCUCAGAUGACUGUUUGCUUAAAUUUGGGUCUCAAAGAAUCUUUUUUUAAUUCUGCCUGUACUCUCCACCCCUCUUCUUCUGUUGCUCAGGUUGAAGCAGAAUUUGCCCGUCUUACAUCUGUUGACCUGAAAGGGUUCCUUUUUGCUGUGCUUGACCAUUAUGGAGAGGUUCGUGGAGCUGUACAAAAUCAAGAGCGGCAUAGAAGGGCUAACUAGGCUCAUAAAAUGCUUCGGAGAUGAUAGCCCUACACAAAGGAAGAGGACAGAGGACCUCAUUUUCUAAAGGAAGAUCCCUCACACACUUUCAAGACUGUGAAGCCGACAGGUAUUGAAGACACGUUUUCUAAGAGGAUGAAAGUUGGCAUUGCGAUGGUGAAAGAAGAAGACAUCGAUGUGUUGGUUGUCCUUGAGGCAGCAGUAAUCCUGUCUAAUCUGAGGGAUGUCUCAAGUGCCAUUUCCAUGCUGAUGGGCCUUCUUUUUGCCCUCAACAUACACUAUCCAAAGGAA
Molecule: long non-coding RNA, 531 nt
Organism: Pelmatolapia mariae (spotted tilapia)
Lineage: Eukaryota; Metazoa; Chordata; Actinopteri; Cichliformes; Cichlidae
Exons: 3
Source: RefSeq, a predicted model, not a curated record